Molecule: long non-coding RNA, 1440 nt
Filed under: Marmota monax (woodchuck)
Lineage: Eukaryota; Metazoa; Chordata; Mammalia; Rodentia; Sciuridae
Source: RNAcentral
GGACAGUCUAAGCAAUUUUGUAAGACCAUGUUUUUUUUUGUUUGUUUGUUUUUGGUAGCAGGGAUUGAACCCAGGACGGUCACCGUUGCAGGAAGCCAGCUAGACAAGCAGCAACAAGUGGCACUCGGAAAGACGGAGAACUCAUGCUUCAUUUUACUCCAGCCGGCACAGAGGGGAACAAACUCUAAAUUCUGAGCGCUGGCCCAUAGUUUCUCAUAACAUUUAUAGGCAAUUUUGUGCCAUAAAAUUUCUAGUCUACAUGACAGGAGGCCUUGUGUGGGGUUUCUAGUGGGAAGUGUGUUUACAGAAGCAAAAAAGCGAUAAGAGGAACUGGCUCUUUGCACAGGCAUAAAUAAAUCUUUGGCCUUGUGUCUGAAGCCUGGUCCAGGGGUGUUUACGUUUCAAAAGAGAGUAGUCAGAUUCCUAGAGACAGUUAUUUACAAUCCAAAUGGUAGGGACCUAUGGUUAAUUAGGUUUCCUGAAGAAAGGCUGACAGAAGGGUGGUGGUGGUGGUGGAGGGAACUCUGACCCUUUCCCAGGCUUUCUUUCUCAUGAUAACAUUCUUGUGAUUUCAUUUUACAACCAGGUCUGGUUUUGCUAUCUCGUAACCACUGAGCUACAUCCCCAGCCCUUUUUAUUUUAUUUUGAGACAGACUCUUCCUAAAUUCCCUAGGGCCUCACUAAAUUUUUUGAGGCUUGUUUUGAGCUUGCAAUCCUCCUGCCUCAGCCUCCUGAACCACUGGAAUUCAGGCAUGUGCUACCAAGUCCAGCUAUGAGACCCUGUUUCAAAAUAAAAAAAUAAAGGGCUGGGGAUGUAGCUCAGUUGUAUAGCAUGCCUGGGCUCAAUCCCAAAUGAUGUAAGAAACAGUGAAAAAUCAGACCCACAAGCUUAUGUUAGAAUAACAAAUAUUUGGGUUUAGAGUUUUGGAGUCACUAGUGGUUUACCUGGUAACUACAAACAACAACAGCAAAAUAAUAUAAUUAGUAAAGAAAAAUUUAAAAACCUGGGCUGGAGAUAUAGCUCGGUUGGUAGAGUGCUUUCCCCAAUGCACAAGGCCCUGGGUUCAAAAAAAAAAAGUGCUCGACUUUUUCCUCUUUCUUUCCCAAACUCAGCCUUAGACAUUAGUACUGGCUCUUCUAGUAAAUAAUGUGAAAGUUUAAACAUCUUAAUUGGCUUUAUUCAGUAUUCUAGUAUUUACCAACACUUCAUUCCUCAAAGCAAGAUGAGAUGAGCUGGGUUGAACAAAGCAGAAAUUCAGAACAAAAAGUAUAUUGGAGGUGCUGAGGUUGUGGCUCAGCGGUAGAGUGCUUGCCUAGCAUGUGUGAGGCCCUGGGCUUGAUCCUUAGCACCACAUAAAAUAAACGAAAGUUUAAAUAAAAUAAAACUAAAAAUUAAAUCGGUCAUUUCAAAGUUAUUUUCCUUGUAACAUUGGGAUAGGG